Epinephelus moara (kelp grouper) is the source of this 518-nucleotide long non-coding RNA. RefSeq lists it as uncharacterized. The transcript is spliced from 4 exons. The record is from RefSeq and is a predicted model, not a curated record. NCBI's taxonomy places the organism in Eukaryota, Metazoa, Chordata, Actinopteri, Perciformes, Serranidae.
ACGCUGGAGCGGUGCUUUCAUCACAGUGUGGGCUGAUUAAAGAUCUGUGACUCUUGUGAAGUUUUGGACAAGGAGAACUACAACACAGUGAUCUGAGCGAUAACAGCAAAGCUCCAGCCUCUCACCAAGAUGUGGUUGCUUCUGGUUCCAAAAAAAACAAGAUGGCGAUGUCCGAAAUGCUGAACACCAGGCUUCAAAAUGGGAGGCACUGCAGUAGUAAUAGAGUGCUACGCAGGCCGCAAGUGACCCACAAGUGCUUUAAAUGAAUACGGUCUGCUAAUAGCAGCGAGAAGACACCCUGGGGGCACCCAUGAAAUAUGUGCAAGGACCCAUGACCACUGAGAUAAUAGCCCCUACCCCAGACCAUGGAUUCACUCUGUCCACUCUCUCCUCCACUCCACUCCCAGCCAGGUUUGGAGUGGCUCAUGUCUUGGACAGAUGGUAAGAUGAGGCCCCUGUAUCUCGUGGCAGAUGAGGGGAAGGACAAUGCCUCAUGGGUGAUAUAGGGAUGAACAAAA